Molecule: long non-coding RNA, 3045 nt
Organism: Polypterus senegalus (gray bichir)
Lineage: Eukaryota; Metazoa; Chordata; Cladistia; Polypteriformes; Polypteridae
Exons: 3
Source: RefSeq, a predicted model, not a curated record
AGGAACCCGGAAGUGGAGAUUGUUGUUUACUCCAGGUGGAGUUAUGGUGGCGUUGCUUCGUCUUUUCUGAGGGAGGAAGAGAGAGAGCUUGGAGAUGUGGGGUGCAGAGGCAGAUGAAGCUGUGGCCAUGAAGUCUCCUGCUGGGCUCAGUGGUGUUCCUUUCUGGAACAAUGUGGGGCUGGUUCAUUAAUUGGCUCAGGCUUCAGCUGGUGGGUUGGAUAUUUCUAUUGUUCUUAAAUGGUUCUUCCUGGAAUGGCCAUGAGAAGCUGAACUAUUGAAAGUCCCUGCCUGAAGUGGUGUUUAAAGAGCAAACCCUCAUGUUGGAUCUCAAAAGAAAAAUCAGACCACAGGAGGCCUGUGAGUCAGUGACAUUAACUCCUGCACUGCUGUGUCACUCUGCAUAUAUGAUACAAUUUAUUGUAUAUGAUCAGUAAACUGUAACUUGCCAGGGUUAAUUGUCAUUGACAACAUGCUGUUCAAGAGCAGGACUUCAAUUUCCACAUCCUUAUAAUGGUCUCAAUCUUUUUCUUCACCACACUUUUGCUAUUACCAUCGACUUCUGCAGACUGAGAAUCUCCUCAGGUGUACAUCAUGAUUUGACCCUCUAAGGAGCCAUUAUUACUUCUAUUACAAACAGUGGUUUUCCAUGACGUACAGUAUUUUCCACUGGAGUGCAAGUUUCCUCCAUAAAGUUUUCACACCUUUAUAAAUAAUCUGGAAUAGGAUAUUUCACAACCCCUUCCUUUUGUUUUAAUUGUUCAGAGUGUUGUUUCAUGACCAUGUGUAGGUUGUAUGUAAGAGCACAGAGUGUGCACAUUUGCCCCACAGAGACCAGUGACUUGGCCAUAGUACUUGAAUUUUAGCAUAAAGCUGCUUAGUGAUGCUCUCUCUGUCAAGCCUGACAUUUCCAUUCAAUCAUCUGUGAAGAGCUUCUUAGGUUUCAGUGAGAUGCAGCCUGGAUAGAAACAGUGUGUCCCCCAGGAUGCUACAGGUAUCUAUCAAGAUGUAAAGCCUCCUGGACGAGGGAGAUGUAUAAAACAACUGGCAGGUAGCUCAACCUUCACUCAGAGGAGAGGGAAACAUUAUGAAGAAUGGGCAGCAUUCAGGCUACUUGGUAGACCUGACCUUUUACUGGAAGCUCAGGGUUGCAGGGAAUCUUAGCCUGAUAGCAACCCGGCUAAUGUAAGCUAAAGCAAAGAAGGCUAACUGGAUGUGACAACAGGAUGGACUUUAAAAUCAUCUCAUGCCAGAUACACAGUUGGGUCUAAAUAAAGUGAUGCAUAGUGGGAAUUUACAAGUGAACAAGUAGGCAUCUCCAUAUCUGACAUCACAUCUGCGUCUGUUUACCUGGACCCUCCCCUUCCUGCCUCGUGAACUCAAAAUGCAGAAGCCGACCAACUUGAGUCAGUUCUGUUAAGAACUUGUGUCCAUGAAGACGUUUCCACUUUUAUUGCGUGUUGUCUUUAAAUUUUACACAUUUCAGGUAUACGGGGUCACCCAACUCUUUAUUAUUGCUUAUGUCCAAUUUUACUGGUGAAAGUGCCAUCUAAUCAGUACCUGAGGGUCUCCUGCUCAUCAGCAUGGACACCACAGGUUACGUGAUAUUAAUGAGUCUUUUCCUCACAGAAUCAAAGUAGAAAAACCUACAGAGAUGUUUCACAGCACACAGAAAAUUCCUCAAAUUCUUACCUUUUCUGUGAUGUAUAGGUACAGGUCAUUUUGUAAUGCGAAAGAAAACAUUUGAACUGUAAUAUAAUAGGCUGGGAUGACAUUGUAAAUUAUCAUCUUUCAAGUUUUCAGACUCUGUGUCCAGCUGGCAUUUGCCUAUUUUGUCAAAUUUGUAUGUCUGUGUGUAAUCAUUAACCACCGCUAUCCACCUCACUGAUAGUCUCGCUCUUUAUAAGACUCCCUGGGUAUUAUAUGACUAUAUUCACUUAUAUACCGUAAUGAACAUAUAGACAACACCUGUCAUGAUUGCACUCAAGGGCGACGCAGGCAGCCUUUCUUCACGAGUACAGAAAUUAACUUACCUGCAGUGAUUGAUUGUAGUGAGAUGAGAUACUGUAGAGGCCCAUAAUAUGAGCCGCGAGUCUGGAACAAGACAGCCAAAUGAGCCUUUAGGAUAAACCCGGGUUAUUGUUCUUAAGGGGAAUGCUUGGAAAGGGUGUGCUGCAGGUUUUAGGAUUUAUAAACACACACAUGGACUCAAGAGAUGAUGGAAUAUGCUGAGUUGUGGCUGGUAAAUUACACUUUGCUAGAUGUACAUGACUGUUUUGAGUAUAGCGUCUAUUGAAAACAAUGCAUCAGGCAGAACAGACACCUAGCACAGCAAAUUUAAAUUUUAUUUCUUUUACUUGUAUUUUAUGAGCAUAAGGCUAAAGAAAGUUUAAAGGGAAAUGAUAAGUCACGUAUAUGGUAGCUGAACUGAACCAUUUAAUAAUGUUAGGUGAAGCCCUCAAUACUCCACCACUAUGUGUCUAUGUUUGUGUAUCCAGCAUACUCAUUUCACUGUAUGUACUGUGUGUGUGUUUUUGUGUGGUAUGCACCAGUGUGUGGUUACAGAGCCUUUUCAUUUGUAAUCCACAUAUUGAAGAUCUUGGGUUUCCAGCCCGUAGCACACUGCUACUCAGGCCAGUUAGCAGGGAUUUCUCCAUUUUCUUCUUCUCACGUUUCUUUCUCUACAGUUAGGAAUGUUCUAUCCUCCAGAUCAGUGUGGCAUGACUAUAUAUAACAAUCUUAUAAAAUGUUUUGAAUAUGUUAAAAUUACCAAGAAACAUCUGACAAUAUAGGAAUGUGUGGAAUUGUAAUGAGAGGCUCCAUCUGUUAUCUCACACCUGACUAAAACGCCAUUAUCUGCCACUGUUGGUAUGUUUAUAGUUCACUUUGAAUAAAAGGCUGACGAGGACAAUUCAUUUCGUUAACGUCCAAUGACUGCACUUCUGGUGAAGGAGGAAAUUUCUGAGAGCACAUAUUAGCACACAACUUCAGGGCACAUAGAAAUGUUGACAUGUGGGCUAACAGUGUGGGUUCAUGGGUAAAGCACCC